Molecule: long non-coding RNA, 3995 nt
Organism: Magallana angulata
Lineage: Eukaryota; Metazoa; Mollusca; Bivalvia; Ostreida; Ostreidae
Exons: 3
Source: RefSeq, a predicted model, not a curated record
UGUUAAAUACUAAAAUCUGAUUGGUUUAGACGCAGUUGGUAAUCCGUUCAAUUACCCUGAGCGUUAGCAACACACUUGGCAACGGGUAACCCAACGAAUUGCUACAUGCGCGUAAAUUAUGCGCAUAUACCGAUUGCCAUAGAAUUCACUUCAUUUCUAUUUAAAAGGAGUAAAAUUUUCUUUAAAAUUAAGACAUUCAUUAUAAUAAAAUAAAUAGCGCCCAUUUGGGAGGGUAACUGUUGACACCCCUCGAAAACCAUUGUUUACCCCCGCUUCGCGUCGGUUGACAAUGGUUUUCUCGGGCACUUAUUAUAUAACGUUAAAUAAAAUGUUCACCGGGAUAUGAACUCAGUUGGUACGUAAUCAAGUCUUCCGAGAAGCCCUUUGGGCUUCACAGGAUAUGAUCACGUGACAAACCAGGUCCGAUAAAAAUUUUCAAUUGCUGUUUAUUUCUUAAAUAUUAUAUUAUUUUACAAUACUACGUUAUAUUAUUCAAAAUUGUAUCAUAUAACACAAUACUGUAUCAUAUCAUCCAAUACAAUAAUAUAGGAAUCAUUUAAUAUAACAACAAACUCAUCUUUCAAACACGUUUGAUUGAGGUACUUAGGACAAUUGUUUUAGCAUCCUUGAUAAUGAAGAGAUCAUUCUCUGUUUCUGAAGCAAGCCGUAUGUAUCAAAUUCAAAGUUAUAUGAUCCAUAUAAGUUUGUCAGGACAGCUGUUCUCCAGAUAUCAAACCUACAUUCGACUACUCAAAAAAUCUACACGUGCUCCAUUAUAAUAACCUCCGGAAUCCGGAAAAUAUGGUUCAGAUUUAGCAUCCAUACAUGUUGAGUGCAUUGGUAUCAAAACCUGCAUCAUUUAUACAAAUUUGAUAAACACUAAACCAAAAACUAAGAUGUGUCCAUCAAAGGGCAUCUGCUCCAAAAAAAAUUAACCAACUCCAAAAACCUUAAAUGUAUCAUCAUUCAGCAUCUGAAACCUAUGGCUCAGAUUAAGCAUUUGAUCCUGUCAACUGCAUAUCUAUCAUCAGACACACCUGUCAUGCAAGUAUGGUGGAGUUAGGACCAGUAGUAAGUAAGAUAUAGUCAUCAAAUGGCACCUGCUCCAAAAUCUUUGCUCUGCUCUUAACAUUUUUAAAGCCAACAUCCAGAAUUCAAGUUCCAGAUUCAGCAUCCAAGUCUUAAAAGUUCAUUAGUUUGUCCAGAUGCACCAUCCAUGCAAGUUUGAUGAAGGUAAGUUAAUUAAUAAUUUAGAUACAAGACCUGCACCACAAACUUUUACCACGUCCAGACGCCAACGGUAUAACAUAAGCUCCAGUCAACCUCGUGUCAGUGAGCUAAAAAAGUUUUGAUUAAAUGUCAAUUGCCACUUGCCCCAAUGGGAUUUACAUAAAUCAUUUGCAAUGUUAUGAUAUGCAUGUGACAUGAUUAAGUACGAUAAUUAAAACGUUACUGUAGUGACGUCUAUGAUCAAUACAGUAUAAUGAAAAUUACAGCUUAUAGUUUCGUUUAACAUCUUUAAUCUUCUCAUGAAAUACAGGACAUUUUCAUUUCCGCAUCUUCAGCCUCUUUGCACACAGAUAGCAACAGACUUGAUGGCUCAUGCCAUCGUGAAUGAUGCUGCCUGUUUUAGCUCUUCUCAAACACAGGCCAUUUGGACCUUUCUACAUGGCAAAUUGCUGCGGUAGGUAAGCAGAGAAUGUCGCAACUUGGUGUUCUAGACAAGUGGUUUACGAGGGCAUGGUGCCCUGGCUGUACGGACACACAAUUGAGUAAAAGUUGUCCUUAAACUUCUUGGUAGAGUUCAUGUCUUGAGUGUGACAACUUCAACAUCUUAGCAGAAUUCGAUGGAGAAUGCAUCUUCCAUUUUCGUUCGCCAGACUGGACGAAUCUUCAAGCAGAAGAUACAGUGGCGUUGAAGGGAGAUUCAAAACUGUUACAAAUGAGGAAAUAGAGAAAUUUUUCGACUCCAGGCAAGCAAAAUCAACAAAAAGAAAUACAGCAUGGGGAUUUUUCAAGAUUGGAACAUGGAGAUCUAUGGUUCUGUACUAAUGGUGCAACAUUAGACCUGCAAACAGCAAAUGUGUCAACUCUUGCCAGUCAUCUCUCGUGAUUUUAUUGUGAAGCCAGCCCCAAAGAAAAAGUUGAUGAUGAUGUUUAGCCUUUGUACCACAAAAAUACUUUGAUCAAUAUCAAAGGAGCAAUAAAUCGCCAUCUUGCUGACAUUCAGAAAGAUGUAAAUAUAGUCCAUGACAAGGAGUUCAGAACAGCCAAUGGAAUCUUGGAUGGUUUCUUUAAAGAGCGAACCUGACUUGAUCUGUCAAAACCAACAUCACACAAAGAUAUUAUCGAGAUACAUGAUCUGCAGAAGAUUUAUAAAUACCUCCAAGGUGCCACAUCAUCACCAGUGGUUUUGCGCCAUGCUGUAUGGUACUUUCUGUCCAUCAAUUUUAUUACCAGAGGUUUAGAGUUCCACCAUAAGUUUAAUCAUAACAGCUUUGUCUUCUGCACAGAUGAAACUUGCCAAUAUGCUGCAUUACAACACAAAACAUUACAAAAUAAUCAUCAAGGUGGUGUAGAUGCCGAUGACAGCCAUACAGACAAGAUAAUGUAUGCAACUGAUAAUGAAAACUGCUGUCAUGUUUAUCUCUUAAAGUUACUGAUGUCAAAAACAGAUUCAAAUGCUACAAAUCUUUUCAACCAAUACAUAUAAGAGAGAGUUCAUUGUGAUAUUUGGUAUUCAGCAAAACCCCUGCCAAAGCGCACUUUCAACAAGUCUCUCGGGGAGAUUUGCUUUCCUGCUGGUGUGGAGCAUAAAUACACAUCCCACUGUUUACGGGCCACUGCAAACACUUACCUUAAUGAUCAGGGAUUUGAAGCACGACAUAUCAUGUUCAUGUCGAACCAAAGGAAUGAGAGUUCAAUGAGGUCAUAUAACAGAUUGCUCUCCUCUAAGCAAAAAAAAAAAGCAUUCUGCGAUGGCGUCUGCAUCUUCAUCCCCUUUUACGAUUGUAGCUCUUCCACCGCUGUCGACCAGGUUCUCGAACUUGCCACCACGAACCCAUGAAAAUCAGGCUCAACUUGAAAACUUACCGUCACCAUCUGCACAUGAGACCACAACUCUCAUAUCGUCAAAUUCCACAGCCACAACAUCGUCCUCCAUGCCAGCAACAUUGAAAACAGUUAACAUGAACAUGCAAAACAUUAAUCCAACAGCUGGGUUUUUCAAUAAUGCAAACUUCAGGGAGAGCACAUUUCGUUUUACUCAGUUGUGCUUACUGUAUUGUUACGUGUUGAUAAUGUUUAUUCUUAAUGAAUAAAUCAUCUUGUUGGAAAAUACUCAUGUAUUGUUAUUGAAUUCAAACUUUUGCGAUUAAAUAUAGCAUUUCUCAAAAAAAAAAAAAUCUUUCUUCAUAAUAUUUUUGAGCACUAUAUUUCCCAUGUCACAACAGCUGAUUUUUUGGCUCUUCCAUCAAUUACCAACACCUGCUAGUAAAGGCGCAAAUUUUAAAACUACGACCAUUAAUAAAAUAAAAAAUAAAAUCAAUAUAAAUAUAAUUUGUUUGCUCGCAUUGGUGUGUCAUAGGACCGACAAAUCCAAAAAAAAAAAGCAUUCAAUGCUUAUAUGCACGAUACAUAACCAUUGUACCUUAGAACAGUAAGUGCUUUGAGAGCAACAUAAUAGUAAUACAUCAGAACCCUAAGCCAUCGAUAUGGUCAACUGAGAGCAACACAACAUUAUUCUAAAAAACCAAACCAAUUAGUAGCAACCUGUAUACUGAAAGCAACUGAACAGUUGUACAAUCCAGUUUUAUAACAGUACUCAAGGCAAAUGAUGAUGCAGUUGAUACCAAGUUCCAAUGCUAUUGGUACGGUCUACUAAGAACAACAAAACAGUCAUACAUUCGUACCCGACACAAUUCAAACUUUCCACUGAGAGCAACCCAACAACUUAGCACCUAUUUACCUGGUAUUAUUCAGUACACUGACCUAUA